GCUCCAUUAGCUCAGAUGGGAGAGCACUCGACUUUUAAUCGAGUGGCCAUGGGUUCGAGUCCCAUAUGGAGCA
Transfer RNA from Lachnospiraceae bacterium, 73 nucleotides. It matches the Rfam family "tRNA". From Rfam's summary of the family: Transfer RNA (tRNA) molecules are approximately 80 nucleotides in length. Their secondary structure includes four short double-helical elements and three loops (D, anti-codon, and T loops). The record is from Rfam. Lineage: Bacteria; Bacillati; Bacillota; Clostridia; Lachnospirales; Lachnospiraceae.